UGCGAGUCGACGGCAGCAUGGGCUUCGGCCUGAUGGCGAGUGGCGAACGGGUUCAAACAUAUCGGAACGUACCGAGCAGCGGGGGAUAACUGUCCGAAAGGAUGGCUAAUACCGCAUACGCCCUAAGGGGGAAAGUGGGGGACCGCAAGGCCUCACACUGCUUGAGCGGCCGAUAACUGAUUAGCUUGUUGGUGGGGUAAAGGCCUACCAAGGCGACGAUCAGUAGCGGGUCUGAGAGGAUGAUCCGCCACAUUGGGACUGAGACACGGCCCAAACUCCUACGGGAGGCAGCAGUGGGGAAUUUUGGACAAUGGGCGCAAGCCUGAUCCAGCCAUGCCGCGUGAGUGAAGAAGGCCUUCGGGUUGUAAAGCUCUUUUGUCGGGGAAGAAAAGCCCGUGGUUAAUACCCCCGGGCGCUGACGGUACCCGAAGAAUAAGCACCGGCUAACUACGUGCCAGCAGCCGCGGUAAUACGUAGGGUGCGAGCGUUAAUCGGAAUUACUGGGCGUAAAGCGGGCGCAGACGGUUAUUCAAGUCAGGUGUGAAAUCCCCGAGCUCAACUUGGGAAUGGCGCUUGAAACUGGAUGGCUAGAGUGUGUCAGAGGGAGGUAGAAUUCCGCGUGUAGCAGUGAAAUGCGUAGAGAUGCGGAGGAAUACCGAUGGCGAAGGCAGCCUCCUGGGAUAACACUGACGUUCAUGUCCGAAAGCGUGGGUAGCAAACAGGAUUAGAUACCCUGGUAGUCCACGCCCUAAACGAUGACAAUUAGCUGUUGGGGAGCAUGACUUCUUAGUAGCGUAGCUAACGCGUGAAAUUGUCCGCCCUGGGGAGUACGGUCGCAAGAUUAAAACUCA
Molecule: ribosomal RNA, 851 nt
Filed under: uncultured bacterium
Lineage: Bacteria
Description: bacterial SSU rRNA
Rfam family: Bacterial small subunit ribosomal RNA
Source: RNAcentral